RNAcentral lists this ribosomal RNA (249 nucleotides) under Klebsiella pneumoniae. Its description in RNAcentral is "partial 16S ribosomal RNA". It matches the Rfam family "Bacterial small subunit ribosomal RNA", at positions 877 to 1125 of the family's 1533-position model. The record is from RNAcentral. Lineage: Bacteria; Pseudomonadati; Pseudomonadota; Gammaproteobacteria; Enterobacterales; Enterobacteriaceae.
GGAGUACGGCCGCAAGGUUAAAACUCAAAUGAAUUGACGGGGGCCCGCACAAGCGGUGGAGCAUGUGGUUUAAUUCGAUGCAACGCGAAGAACCUUACCUGGUCUUGACAUCCACAGAACUUUCCAGGGAUGGAUUGGUGCCUUCGGGAACUGUGAGACAGGUGCUGCAUGGCUGUCGUCAGCUCGUGUUGUGAAAUGUUGGGUUAAGUCCCGCAACGAGCGCAACCCUUAUCCUUUGUUGCCAGCGGU